GUGUGUUGUGUUGUAUUUUGUGUGUUUAGACAAGGAUUAAAAAGAUAAUAUGUUGGAGCGUGCUGUUGGCAAAAGGUUAUCCUUUGCCAACAACUCCACAGAAACAGUUCACAAAAGAUUGGUAGGGGCUUCCCCCCCCCAAAUCACUGAUGAUCCUUCCGCAGGUUCACCUACGGAAA
Molecule: unclassified non-coding RNA, 179 nt
Filed under: uncultured fungus
Lineage: Eukaryota; Fungi
Description: sequence contains ITS1
Source: RNAcentral